This 672-nucleotide ribosomal RNA is filed under the name Triticum aestivum (bread wheat). RNAcentral's name for it is "partial small subunit ribosomal RNA". The record is from RNAcentral. Lineage: Eukaryota; Viridiplantae; Streptophyta; Magnoliopsida; Poales; Poaceae.
AUGGGGUUGAGGGACAAGAAGAGGAACCAGAGGCGUGUGCUCUCGCGGCGCUCCGCCGGCCCCCGGACCGGCGAGGGCAAGGAUUUCCUGCCGCUGGAGGGGAAAGAGCAGAGGAUCCGGGAGAAGCAGCAGCCCGAGGAGCCGGAGAACACGGCCACCGUCCUGUACAUCGGCCACAUCCCCCACGGCUUCUACGAGGACCAGAUGCAAGGUUUCUUUCAGCAGUUUGGGGCUGUUAAGAGGGUCAGGAUUGCCCGGAACCGCAAGACAGGAAAGUCCAAGCAUUAUGGUUUCAUUGAGUUUGAGAACCCUGAGAUUCCUGGCAUGUUCUUGGUAUAUCAGGUGGCGAAGAUUGUAGCUGAUGAGAUGAAUAACUACCUCUUGUUUGAGCACACUCUGCAAAUUGCGCCUGUCCCACUGGAGAAAGUUCAUGCCAAAUUAUGGAAAGGUGUGCGGAAGGGAUUUGUACCAGUUGACCGGGUAGCAAUUGAACGGAAUAAGCUUAGUAAGGAUAAAACAGUAGAAGAGCAUAAGAGGAUGCUUGAAGGAAUUGUAAAGCGGGAUGAGAAUCGUCGCAAAAGAAUCAAGGCUGCUGGCAUCGAUUAUGAGUGUCCACCCCUUAUUGGGAGCGUUCAGCCUUCAGCUAAGAAGAUCAAGUUUGAUGAGGAUUAG